Non-coding RNA from Pelobates cultripes (western spadefoot toad), 343 nucleotides. The record is from the annotation of a GenBank genome assembly. NCBI's taxonomy places the organism in Eukaryota, Metazoa, Chordata, Amphibia, Anura, Pelobatidae.
AUGGGAGGAUCCCACAGAGGAAGCCACUGAUGUCCAAACAAAACAUUGCUGCACGUUUACAGUUUGCACAAGAGCACCUGGAUGUUCCGCAGCAGUACUGGCAAAAUAUUCUGUGGACAGAUGAAACCAAAGUUGAGUUGUUUGGCAGAAACACACAACACUAUGUGUGGCGAAAAAAAGGCACAGCACACCAACAUCAAAACCUUAUCCCAACUGUGAAGUAUUGUGGUGGGGGCAUCAUGGUUUGGGGCUGCUUUGCUGCGUCAGGGCCUGGACGGAUUGCUAUCAUCGAAAGAAAAAUGAAUUCCCAAGUUUAUCAAGACAUUUUGCAGGAGAACUUAAG